RNAcentral lists this ribosomal RNA (468 nucleotides) under uncultured bacterium. RNAcentral's name for it is "partial 16S ribosomal RNA". It matches the Rfam family "Bacterial small subunit ribosomal RNA", at positions 28 to 507 of the family's 1533-position model. The record is from RNAcentral.
GACGAACGCUGGCGGCGUGCUUAACACAUGCAAGUCGAACGGAAAGGCCCGGCUUUUGUGGGGUGCUCGAGUGGCGAACGGGUGAGUAACACGUGAGUAACCUGCCCUUGGCUUUGGGAUAACUUCAGGAAACUGGGGCUGAUACCGGAUAGGAACUCCGGCUGCAUGGUGGGGGUUGGAAAGUUUGGGCGGUUGGGGAUGGACUCUAGGCUUAUCAGCUUGUUGGUGGGGUAGUGGCUUACCAAGGCUUUGACGGGUAGCCGGCCUGAGAGGGUGACCGGCCAGAGUGGGAGUGAGCUACGGACCAGACUACUAAGGGAGGCAGCAGUGGGGAAUAAUGCAUAAUGGGCGGAAGCCUGAUGCAGCAACGCCGCGUGAGGGAUGAUGGCCUUCGGGUUGUAAACCGCUUUCGCCUGUGACGAAGGGUGAGUGACGGUAAUGGGUAAAGAAGCACCGGCUAACUACGUG